This 531-nucleotide ribosomal RNA is filed under the name uncultured Flavobacterium sp. Its description in RNAcentral is "bacterial SSU rRNA". It matches the Rfam family "Bacterial small subunit ribosomal RNA", at positions 90 to 619 of the family's 1533-position model. The record is from RNAcentral. Lineage: Bacteria; Pseudomonadati; Bacteroidota; Flavobacteriia; Flavobacteriales; Flavobacteriaceae.
UGAGACCGGCGCACGGGUGCGUAACGCGUAUGCAAUCUACCUUUUACAGGGGAAUAGCCCAGAGAAAUUUGGAUUAAUGCCCCAUAGUAUAGUUUUUUCGCAUGAAGAGAUUAUUAAAGUUCCAACGGUAAAAGAUGAGCAUGCGUCCCAUUAGCUAGAUGGUAAGGUAACGGCUUACCAUGGCGACGAUGGGUAGGGGUCCUGAGAGGGAGAUCCCCCACACUGGUACUGAGACACGGACCAGACUCCUACGGGAGGCAGCAGUGAGGAAUAUUGGUCAAUGGACGCAAGUCUGAACCAGCCAUGCCGCGUGCAGGAUGACGGUCCUAUGGAUUGUAAACUGCUUUUGUACGAGAAGAAACACUCCAACGUGUUGGAGCUUGACGGUAUCGUAAGAAUAAGGAUCGGCUAACUCCGUGCCAGCAGCCGCGGUAAUACGGAGGAUCCAAGCGUUAUCCGGAAUCAUUGGGUUUAAAGGGUCCGUAGGCGGUCAGAUAAGUCAGUGGUGAAAGCCCAUCGCUCAACGGUGGA